UUUGGCACGAGUUGUAGAGUGUAGGCGGGAGUCUUUGUGGAGCACGGUGUCCAAGUCCCUUGGAACAGGGCGCCUGAGAGGGUGAGAGCCCCGUGGGGUGCCGUGCGAAGCUGUGAGGCCCUGCUGACGAGUCGAGUUGUUUGGGAAUGCAGCUCCAAGUGGGUGGUAAAUUCCAUCUAAGGCUAAAUACUGGCGAGAGACCGAUAGCGAACAAGUACUGUGAAGGAAAGAUGAAAAGCACUUUGAAAAGAGAGUGAAACAGCACGUGAAAUUGUUGAAAGGGAAGGGUAUUGGGCCCGACAUGGGGAGUGCGCACCGCUGUCUCUUGUAGGCGGCGCUCUGGGCGCUCUCUGGGCCAGCAUCGGUUUUUGCUGCGGGAGAAUGGGUGCCGGAAAGUGGCUCUUCGGAGUGUUAUAGCCGGCGCCAGAUACCGCGUGCGGGGACCGAGGACUGCGGCU
RNAcentral lists this ribosomal RNA (458 nucleotides) under Pichia membranifaciens. RNAcentral describes it as "eukaryotic LSU rRNA". It matches the Rfam family "Eukaryotic large subunit ribosomal RNA", at positions 132 to 602 of the family's 3401-position model. Lineage: Eukaryota; Fungi; Ascomycota; Pichiomycetes; Pichiales; Pichiaceae. The record is from RNAcentral.